Molecule: transfer RNA, 66 nt
Filed under: Glycera fallax
Lineage: Eukaryota; Metazoa; Annelida; Polychaeta; Phyllodocida; Glyceridae
Description: tRNA-Lys
Source: RNAcentral
CUUUAGGGAGCUGUAUUUAGCAUUAGCCUUUUAAGCUAAAGAAAAUAAUUUACUUAUUCCUGAAGA